Molecule: ribosomal RNA, 253 nt
Filed under: uncultured bacterium
Lineage: Bacteria
Description: partial 16S ribosomal RNA
Rfam family: Bacterial small subunit ribosomal RNA
Source: RNAcentral
UACGUAGGGGGCAAGCGUUAUCCGGAAUUACUGGGUGCAAAGGGAGCGUAGACGGUGAUGUAAGUCUGGAGUGAAAGGCGGGGGCCCAACCCCCGGACUGCUCUGGAAACUAUGUGACUGGAGUGCAGGAGAGGUGAGCGGAAUUCCUAGUGUAGCGGUGAAAUGCGUAGAUAUUAGGAGGAACACCAGUGGCGAAGGCGGCUCACUGGACUGUAACUGACGUUGAGGCUCGAAAGCGUGGGGAGCAAACAGG